This 665-nucleotide ribosomal RNA is filed under the name uncultured bacterium. RNAcentral describes it as "bacterial SSU rRNA". It matches the Rfam family "Bacterial small subunit ribosomal RNA", at positions 29 to 674 of the family's 1533-position model. The record is from RNAcentral.
AUCAACGCUGGCGGCGUGCCUAACACAUGCAAGUCGAACGCGAAAGGGGCUUCGGUCCUGAGUAGAGUGGCGAACGGGUGAGUAACACGUGGGUGAUCUACCUUCGAGUGGGGGAUAACGUUCCGAAAGGAACGCUAAUACCGCAUGACGUUCUGGGUUUAAAGACCUGGAAACCAAAGCCGGGGACCGCAAGGCCUGGCGCUAGAAGAGGAGCCCGCGUCCGAUUAGCUAGUUGGCGGGGUAACGGCCCACCAAGGCGACGAUCGGUAGCCGGCCUGAGAGGGCGGACGGCCACACUGGAACUGAGACACGGUCCAGACUCCUACGGGAGGCAGCAGUGGGGAAUUGUUCACAAUGGGCGCAAGCCUGAUGACGCAACGCCGCGUGGGGGAUGAAGGUCUUCGGAUUGUAAACCCCUGUCGAAUGGGACGAAAGACUCUGGAGCUAAUCAUCCGGAGAGUGACGGUACCGUUAAAGGAAGCCACGGCUAACUCUGUGCCAGCAGCCGCGGUAAUACAGAGGUGGCAAGCGUUGUUCGGAAUUACUGGGCGUAAAGGGCGCGUAGGCGGCCUUCUAAGUCAGACGUGAAAUCCCCCGGCUUAACCUGGGAACUGCGUCUGAUACUGGGAGGCUUGAGUAUGGGAGAGGGAUGUAGAAUUCCAGGU